GAGUUUGAUCAUGGCUCAGAACGAACGCUGGCGGCAUGCCUAACACAUGCAAGUCGAACGCACGUAGCAAUACGUGAGUGGCGGACGGGUGAGAAGCGCGUGGGUACCUGCCCUGUAGUACGGAAUAACCACGGGAAACUGUGGCUAAUACCGUAUACGCCCCCUGGGGGAAAGAUUUAUCGCUAUAGGAGGGGCCCGCGUCGGAUUAGCUAGUUGGUGAGGUAACGGCUCACCAAGGCGAUGAUCCGUAGCUGGUCUGAGAGGACGACCAGCCACACUGGGACUGAGACACGGCCCAGACUCCUACGGGAGGCAGCAGUGGGGAAUAUUGGACAAUGGGGGAAACCCUGAUCCAGCAAUGCCGCGUGAGUGAAGAAGGCCUUAGGGUUGUAAAGCUCUUUCAGCGGGGAAGAUGAUGACGGUACCCGCAGAAGAAGCCCCGGCUAACUCCGUGCCAGCAGCCG
Molecule: ribosomal RNA, 464 nt
Filed under: uncultured Alphaproteobacteria bacterium
Lineage: Bacteria; Pseudomonadati; Pseudomonadota; Alphaproteobacteria
Description: bacterial SSU rRNA
Rfam family: Bacterial small subunit ribosomal RNA
Source: RNAcentral